This 691-nucleotide ribosomal RNA is filed under the name uncultured Bacteroidales bacterium. Its description in RNAcentral is "bacterial SSU rRNA". It matches the Rfam family "Bacterial small subunit ribosomal RNA", at positions 53 to 733 of the family's 1533-position model. The record is from RNAcentral. Lineage: Bacteria; Pseudomonadati; Bacteroidota; Bacteroidia; Bacteroidales.
ACAUGCAAGUCGAGGGGCAGCAUGGUCUUAGCUUGCUAAGGCCGAUGGCGACCGGCGCACGGGUGAGUAACACGUAUCCAACCUGCCGUCUACUCUUGGACAGCCUUCUGAAAGGAAGAUUAAUACAAGAUGGCAUCAUGAGUCCACAUGUUCACAUGAUUAAAGGUAUUCCGGUAGACGAUGGGGAUGCGUUCCAUUAGAUAGUAGGCGGGGUAACGGCCCACCUAGUCUUCGAUGGAUAGGGGUUCUGAGAGGAAGGUCCCCCACAUUGGAACUGAGACACGGUCCAAACUCCUACGGGAGGCAGCAGUGAGGAAUAUUGGUCAAUGGGCGAGAGCCUGAACCAGCCAAGUAGCGUGAAGGAUGACUGCCCUAUGGGUUGUAAACUUCUUUUAUAAAGGAAUAAAGUCGGGUAUGUAUACCCGUUUGCAUGUACUUUAUGAAUAAGGAUCGGCUAACUCCGUGCCAGCAGCCGCGGUAAUACGGAGGAUCCGAGCGUUAUCCGGAUUUAUUGGGUUUAAAGGGAGCGUAGAUGGAUGUUUAAGUCAGUUGUGAAAGUUUGCGGCUCAACCGUAAAAUUGCAGUUGAUACUGGAUAUCUUGAGUGCAGUUGAGGCAGGCGGAAUUCGUGGUGUAGCGGUGAAAUGCUUAGAUAUCACGAAGAACUCCGAUUGCGAAGGCAGCCUGCUAAG